Molecule: long non-coding RNA, 279 nt
Organism: Etheostoma spectabile (orangethroat darter)
Lineage: Eukaryota; Metazoa; Chordata; Actinopteri; Perciformes; Percidae
Exons: 4
Source: RefSeq, a predicted model, not a curated record
GGUAUAAAAUAAAAGAUAGAGUGCAGUGUAAGGAAUGAAUUACCUGAUCUAACAAAAGGCAGCGUCAAACAGAAAAGUCUUCAGCCUUGAUUUAAAAGAACUGAGAGUUCUCUGGGAAUUUGUUCCAGAUAUGUGGAGCAGAAAAACUGAACAUUUCUUCUCCAGGUUUAGUUUGGACUCAGGGGACAGACAGCAGAGCGGUCCCAGACCACCUGAGAGGUCCGGAUUGUUCAUCAUGAAGCAAAGAUCAGAAAUGUAUUCUGGGCCUAAACCAUUCAG